Molecule: long non-coding RNA, 1866 nt
Filed under: Homo sapiens (human)
Lineage: Eukaryota; Metazoa; Chordata; Mammalia; Primates; Hominidae
Description: HSALNT0089656
Source: RNAcentral
UAUUAAAAAGUACUCAUUUCAGGCACAACACAGACUAAUUAAUUUAGAGUCUCUGGGAUGGUACCUUGACACUGGUAUGUUUUAACGUCUGCCCCCUGCCUUGCCCCAAGUGACUCUAAAAUGUGCAGGUGGAGAUAAGUCCACUACUCUAAGGCAGUGGCAGUUGGAAAGGAGAAGAAGAGGAUUUGGACCUGAAUUACGUUCCAGGGGUGGGAUCCCUAAAAAGGAUAUAAAUCUUAGGACAUGAAUUUGGCUUUAGUGGGUUUCCUUCCAUUCUAUAUAGCUCUCAAGGUCAAGUGCAUUGCUGAGGAAUGGACAAUAGCCUCUGCUGAUCCCUCUGAUCUAAGCUGCUGCUGGCACGGCAGCAUUGGAGGCUACAUCCAUUCUCAGCACAUUUGGAGUGCAAUGAUGCUGCAGGAACAAAUCGCCCACCUUCCAAAUGCCCUGUGAGUGAGUCAGUGCUCAGCAGCAUUGGCAAGGCGGAGCGCUGUAACGGCAAAGAAAGGAUGACAUCUCAUAUACAUGUGUGAACAGGACUGUUUACUCAUAGGAUGAUUAUUUUAAAGGAGACGUUUGGUUUUUUAAGGUCCGUAGAAGUUUGUUUCAUCGCUAAUCGCAGCGGGUGUAGGUGUUAGCUAACAUACCGGUAACUGAAUGUUCUUAGCAAUACUGCAAUAGCUUCCCUUAAGGUUUAAAAAUUACAAUUUGAUUUUAAUUGCCACCUCUCUUAAUAGGUGUUACUCAAACAGGAAGGAAAAUGCCACAUACUCUUACCAGUUCUUGAUGCCAGAGAUUACUAAAGCAAUUUGGAAAGAUAUCGAAAAGGUGUUGAGAAAAUACAGGUGAAUUUUAAUACAUGAUGUGUAUUGACAUUUUUACUCUAGGUAGCAACAGAGAGACUUCUGUAUUGCUGGGGAGGAAUUAUAUGAGAUUUUGGCUACGGAGACAGGAUUUCUCACUUCUUAUUGGCUGAAAAAAAAAUAAAUGAAGCCAUUAGAAGCAGUAUUGAAAUAUUAAUCAUACCUUCCAAAAUUAAACACUCUUUUAAAAAUAAAAGUUACACAAUCUGUCUUUCACUUCAUCUUUGACUUUCAUCCCAACACUGGUGGGAGGAAAUAAGCUCUGGUUAAAAUCAAGACUGAAAGUGACUUUGACUUUGCAGAGAACAGUGUCAAGGCGAAGAACUUGACUGUAUCUUCUCUCCCACUUGGGGUCAGUGUUUAGGCACAUGAGAGAAGAUGAGGAACCAGGACAGGAAAUGGCAGCGUUUCCACCAAAGGUCAAGGGGAACAUUAAUGGGCUACAUUCCAGACCCAAGGCUGACGAUCUUCUUCAAAGGAGUCAGUGGUGGAAACACAGACUCAGAGCCACUCCCAAAAGGUACGAUGAGGUCAGGAUCAUUGAAGAGAGGCAGUGCACAGGGGGCGUUCGGGUGAGCAUCUCUAAAGUUACCUUUCUGGUUGGUCUUUGACAUCAAAGUGCGUAAGUCUGCCUUUCAUGGGCAGGUAGAAAUGCUGUGCAGGUGAAAACAGGCCUCUGGCAAGAUAAGAACAGAAAUCUUUGAGCUUCAAAUUACAGAUCUUUAUGUUUCACUGAAACUUGUCUUUACAGGGGUGUCAGUCUCCACUGUGACUGACCACAAAACCCUGCAGGAAAGAGGCUGUGGGUUUUCCUGCGUGGUCCCCAGACCCUAAUAUGCCCAUGUGGCUGCCUAAUACACAUCUCUAUUUAAAAUGUUCAGAAUCUGUGUACUUGGAGGACUAAGCAGGAAAGAAAUAGAUUGAACGGGCCAACCAGGUAUUUUAGGAUUUGGGCUGUCAACUUUAUAGUCUAACAGCAAUGGAAAUGUCUAAGAUGGAAACAAUC